RNAcentral lists this ribosomal RNA (381 nucleotides) under uncultured bacterium. Its description in RNAcentral is "bacterial SSU rRNA". It matches the Rfam family "Bacterial small subunit ribosomal RNA", at positions 30 to 417 of the family's 1533-position model. The record is from RNAcentral.
CCUGAACGCUGGCGGCGUGGCUAAGACAUGCAAGUCGUACGGGGUAGCAAUACCCAGUGGCGAACGGGUGAGUAAUGUAUCGCUAACGUGCCCCCGAGUCAGGGAUAGCUGCCCGAAAGGGCAGGUAAUACCUGAUAAGACCACGACCGGGCAUCCGGUUGUGCUCAAAGCAGCAAUGCGCUCAGGGAGCGGGCGAUAUCGUAUCAGCUAGUUGGUGAGGUAACGGCUCACCAAGGCGACGACGCGUAGCCGGACUGAGAGGUUGGCCGGCCACAUUGGGACUGAGACACUGCCCAGACUCCGUACGGGGGGCUGCAGUAACGAAUCUUCCGCAAUGCACGAAAGUGUGACGGAGCGACGCCGCGUGUGGGACGAAGUCCU